Molecule: long non-coding RNA, 990 nt
Organism: Crotalus tigris (Tiger rattlesnake)
Lineage: Eukaryota; Metazoa; Chordata; Lepidosauria; Squamata; Viperidae
Exons: 3
Source: RefSeq, a predicted model, not a curated record
GGGAAUUGAACUUUUCGGCCCGGGUAGAAUUGCAUUUCCUUGCAUUGGGAAAAUGCAUUUCUUGCAUUGCAUUUCUUUGGAGUUUCCUCGUGUGGCGAGCACAGUGUCUACAAACACACCGCACAGAUGAAAUGCGGAAGGACUCUUCAGGGUAUUUCAAGGUGCCGCCAAUGUUGGCUUUGUGUCCCAAAGACUGGGUGGCUUUUUGUUUGCCAGGCCUCCUCUAUCUGUUGUGGUGGUUGCCAGAGUGUAACACCAGGCCGGCAUUGAUUGUUUCCACCGCUAAUCCACGCUAAUUGAUUUUUAUCUGAAUCACAGAAUGUGGGCAGCCUCCGUUUGCUCAAGAAACCUCACUGCACUCUUUGCCUCACUGUAUUCAUGAGCAGAGGAAAGAGAUGAGGCUGUGUCUUUGUCUCGUCUGGGUCUGCCUCCAGAUUCCAAAACGAACAUUCCCUGCGCCAUCUCUGAGGCACAUAGUAUCUUCCUGACAUUCUCCUGGCAACCUCUGAGCCAAUGCACAAGAGCAUGAGUGAUGCUGUUGACCAUCAAUCAACCAACCAACCAACCCAUCAAUCCCCAGCAAAGCUGUGUGUGUGUGUGUGGGGGGGGAGGUCUGCCCUUAAAAAGAGGAAAGAAGAAGGAACUACCUGGGCUACAGUCACCCAGUUUCUGAGCUGAAAAAUGCCUUAGUUCUGUUUGCAUCCAAUGAUAGAAAUGGCGGUACAGUUUAAUGUAGUGAUUAAAGUGCUGGCCUAGAAACCAGGAGAAACCUGGGAUUUCUAGUCCUACUUUAGAUAUGAAAGCUGUCUGGGUGACUUUGGGUCAGUCACCAGGAGAUGGUGAGUUUUAGUCCUGCCUUAGGCGCAAAAGCCAGCUGAGUGACUUUGGACUAAUCAUAAUGAGACUCCAAAUUCUAGUCCUGAAAGCCAGCUGGGUGACCUUGGGGCAAUCCCCAGGAGACAGUGAGUUCUAGUCCCCCCCCCCCUUAGC